This 429-nucleotide ribosomal RNA is filed under the name bacterium. Its description in RNAcentral is "partial 16S ribosomal RNA". It matches the Rfam family "Bacterial small subunit ribosomal RNA", at positions 355 to 776 of the family's 1533-position model. The record is from RNAcentral.
UAGGGAAUCUUCCACAAUGGACGCAAGUCUGAUGGAGCAACGCCGCGUGAGUGAAGAAGGUUUUCGGAUCGUAAAGCUCUGUUGUUGGUGAAGAAGGAUAGAGGCAGUAACUGGUCUUUAUUUGACGGUAAUCAACCAGAAAGUCACGGCUAACUACGUGCCAGCAGCCGCGGUGAUACGUAGGUGGCAAGCGUUGUCCGGAUUUAUUGGGCGUAAAGCGAGCGCAGGCGGAAUGAUAAGUCUGAUGUGAAAGCCCACGGCUCAACCGUGGAACUGCAUCGGAAACUGUCAUUCUUGAGUGCAGAAGAGGAGAGUGGAAUUCCAUGUGUAGCGGUGGAAUGCGUAGAUAUAUGGAAGAACACCAGUGGCGAAGGCGGCUCUCUGGUCUGCAACUGACGCUGAGGCUCGAAAGCAUGGGUAGCGAACAGG